RNAcentral lists this transfer RNA (63 nucleotides) under Takobia yixiani. RNAcentral's name for it is "tRNA-His". Lineage: Eukaryota; Metazoa; Arthropoda; Insecta; Ephemeroptera; Baetidae. The record is from RNAcentral.
UACUUUGGUAGUUUAUAAAAAUACCGGGGUGUGGUACCGGAGACGCCCUUCAGCCCAGAGUAA